UACGAAGGGGGCUAGCGUUGUUCGGAAUUACUGGGCGUAAAGCGCACGUAGGCGGAUAUUUAAGUCAGGGGUGAAAUCCCAGAGCUCAACUCUGGAACUGCCUUUGAUACUGGGUAUCUCGAGUAUGGAAGAGGUGAGUGGAAUUCCGAGUGUAGAGGUGAAAUUCGUAGAUAUUCGCAAGAACACCAGUGGCGAAGGCGGCUCACUGGCCCGGUACUGACGCUGAGGUGCGAAAGCGUGGGGAGCGAACAGG
RNAcentral lists this ribosomal RNA (253 nucleotides) under uncultured bacterium. RNAcentral's name for it is "partial 16S ribosomal RNA". It matches the Rfam family "Bacterial small subunit ribosomal RNA", at positions 524 to 776 of the family's 1533-position model. The record is from RNAcentral.